RNAcentral lists this ribosomal RNA (459 nucleotides) under uncultured bacterium. RNAcentral's name for it is "partial 16S ribosomal RNA". It matches the Rfam family "Bacterial small subunit ribosomal RNA", at positions 338 to 795 of the family's 1533-position model. The record is from RNAcentral.
CCUACGGGUGGCAGCAGUGAGGAAUAUUGGUCAAUGGACGCAAGUCUGAACCAGCCAAGCAGCGUGCAGGAAGACGGCCCUAUGAGUUGUAAACUGCUUUUGUACGAGGGUAAACGCAGAUACGCGUAUCUGUCUGAAAGUAUCGUACGAAUAAGGAUCGGCUAACUCCGUGCCAGCAGCCGCGGGAAUACGGAGGAUUCAAGCGUUAUCCGGAUUUAUUGGGUUUAAAGGGUGCGUAGGGGGGUGGUUAAGUUAGUGGUGAAAUCCCGGGGCUCAACUGCGGAAUUGCCUCUGAUACUGUUCGGCUAGGGAAUAGUUGCGGUAGGCGGAAUGUAUGGUGUAGCGGUGAACUGCUUAGAGAUCAUACAGAACACCGAUUGCGAGGGCAGCUUACCAAGCUACUUCUGACGUUGAGGCACGAAUGCGUGGGGGUCAAACAGGAUUGGGUACCCCGUAGUC